AGUGAACGCUGGCGGUAGGCCUAACACAUGCAAGUCGAACGGCAGCACAGUAAGAGCUUGCUCUUACGGGUGGCGAGUGGCGGACGGGUGAGGAAUACAUCGGAAUCUACUUUUUCGUGGGGGAUAACGUAGGGAAACUUACGCUAAUACCGCAUACGACCUACGGGUGAAGGCAGUGGAUCUUCGGACCUUGCGCGAUUGAAUUAGCCGAUGUCGGAUUAGCUAGUUGGCGGGGUAAAGGCCCACCAAGGCGACGAUCCGUAGCUGGUCUGAGAGGAUGAUCGGCCACACUGGAACUGAGACACGGUCCAGACUCCUACGGGAGGCAGCAGUGGGGAAUAUUGGACAAUGGGCGCAAGCCUGAUCCAGCCAUACCGCGUGGGUGAAGAAGGCCUUCGGGUUGUAAAGCCCUUUUGUUGGGAAAGAAAAGCAGCAGGUUAAUACCCCGCUGUUCUGACGGUACCCAAAGAAUAAGCACCGGCUAACUUCGUG
RNAcentral lists this ribosomal RNA (492 nucleotides) under uncultured bacterium. RNAcentral describes it as "partial 16S ribosomal RNA". It matches the Rfam family "Bacterial small subunit ribosomal RNA", at positions 29 to 507 of the family's 1533-position model. The record is from RNAcentral.